RNAcentral lists this ribosomal RNA (726 nucleotides) under uncultured Actinomycetes bacterium. RNAcentral describes it as "bacterial SSU rRNA". It matches the Rfam family "Bacterial small subunit ribosomal RNA", at positions 756 to 1479 of the family's 1533-position model. Lineage: Bacteria; Bacillati; Actinomycetota; Actinomycetes. The record is from RNAcentral.
AAAGUGUGGGUAGCAAACAGGAUUAGAUACCCUGGUAGUCCACACCGUAAACGUUGGGCACUAGGUGUGGGGAGGAAUCAACCCUUUCCGUGCCGUAGCUAACGCAUUAAGUGCCCCGCCUGGGGAGUACGGCCGCAAGGCUAAAACUCAAAGGAAUUGGCGGGGGCCCGCACAAGCGGCGGAGCAUGUUGCUUAAUUCGAGGCAACGCGAAGAACCUUACCUAGGUUGAACUACGCAGGAAUAGCCACAGAGAUGUGGUGUCCUUCGGGGCCUGCGAUAGGUGGUGCAUGGCUGUCAUCAGCUCGUGUCGUGAGAUGUUGGGUUAAGUCCCGCAACGAGCGCAACCCUUAUCCUAUGUUGCCAGCGCGUAAUGGCGGGGACUCGUGGGAGACUGCCGGGGUCAACUCGGAGGAAGGUGGGGACGACGUCAAGUCAUCAUGCCCCUUAUGUCUAGGGCUGCAAACAUGCUACAGUGGCUGGUACAAAGGGCUGCGAAACCGCGAGGUCGAGCGAAUCCCAAAAAGCCAGUCUCAGUUCGGAUUGAAGUCUGCAACUCGACUUCAUGAAGCUGGAGUCGCUAGUAAUCCCGGAUCAGCAACGCCGGGGUGAAUACGUUCCCGGGCCUUGUACACACCGCCCGUCACACCACGAAAGUUGGCAACACCCGAAGUCAGUGGCCGAACCCCUCGGGGACGGAGCCGCCGAAGGUGGUUUUAUCGAUUGGA